CAGUCGCCGCGGUAAUACGAAGGGGGCUAGCGUUGUUCGGAAUCACUGGGCGUAAAGCGCACGUAGGCGGAUUUUUAAGUCAGGGGUGAAAUCCCGAGGCUCAACCUCGGAACUGCCUUUGAUACUGGAAAUCUUGAGUCCGGGAGAGGUGAGUGGAACUGCGAGUGUAGAGGUGAAAUUCGUAGAUAUUCGCAAGAACACCAGUGGCGAAGGCGGCUCACUGGCCUGGAACUGACGCUGAGGUGCGAAAGCGUGGGGAGCAAACAGGAUUAGAUACCCCCGUAGUCCCUGUCUCUUAUAU
RNAcentral lists this ribosomal RNA (301 nucleotides) under uncultured bacterium. RNAcentral's name for it is "partial 16S ribosomal RNA". It matches the Rfam family "Bacterial small subunit ribosomal RNA", at positions 509 to 809 of the family's 1533-position model. The record is from RNAcentral.